CAACCCUCAAGCUCAGCUUGGUGUUGGGCAACGCGGUCCGCCGCGUGCCUCAAAUCGACCGGCUGGGUCUUCUGUCCCCUAAGCGUUGUGGAAACUAUUCGCUAAAGGUGGCUCGGGAGGCUACGCCGUAAAACAACCCCAUUUCUAA
RNAcentral lists this unclassified non-coding RNA (148 nucleotides) under Cladophialophora bantiana. RNAcentral's name for it is "sequence contains ITS2". The record is from RNAcentral. Lineage: Eukaryota; Fungi; Ascomycota; Eurotiomycetes; Chaetothyriales; Herpotrichiellaceae.